UACGUAGGGUGCAAGCGUUAUCCGGAAUUAUUGGGCGUAAAGAGCUCGUAGGCGGUUUGUUGCGUCCGCUGUGAAAACUCGGGGCUUAACCCCGAGCCUGCAGUGGAUACGGGCAGACUAGAGGUAGGUAGGGGAGAAUGGAAUUCCCGGUGUAGCGGUGAAAUGCGCAGAUAUCGGGAGGAACACCGGUGGCGAAGGCGGUUCUCUGGGCCUUACCUGACGCUGAGGAGCGAAAGCGUGGGGAGCGAACAGG
Molecule: ribosomal RNA, 253 nt
Filed under: uncultured bacterium
Lineage: Bacteria
Description: partial 16S ribosomal RNA
Rfam family: Bacterial small subunit ribosomal RNA
Source: RNAcentral